Molecule: transfer RNA, 84 nt
Filed under: Flavobacteriaceae bacterium
Lineage: Bacteria; Pseudomonadati; Bacteroidota; Flavobacteriia; Flavobacteriales; Flavobacteriaceae
Rfam family: tRNA
About the family: Transfer RNA (tRNA) molecules are approximately 80 nucleotides in length. Their secondary structure includes four short double-helical elements and three loops (D, anti-codon, and T loops).
Source: Rfam by way of RNAcentral
GCGCACGUGGCGGAAUUGGUAGACGCGCUAGCUUGAGGGGUUAGUGAUCAUUAGGUCGUGGAAGUUCGAAUCUUCUCGUGCGCA